Molecule: unclassified non-coding RNA, 209 nt
Filed under: uncultured Sebacina
Lineage: Eukaryota; Fungi; Basidiomycota; Agaricomycetes; Sebacinales; Sebacinaceae
Description: sequence contains ITS2
Source: RNAcentral
GUACUCUCACACUCUCCGAUCCUGUGGAUUUGGGGAGCGGUGGACUUGGGUGCUUGCUGCUUUCCUUGUGGCUCACCUGAAAUGCGUUAGUGCAUCUCUUGAUUGGACAUAGUACGGCGUGAUAAGUGUCUUCGCCGGCGCCUCGUAAUAAAGAGGGUGGCCGAUUGGGAGCUCUGUGCUUUCAAACCGUCUUCGGACAAUCUCUGACA